GAGGCGAACCGGGAGAACUGAAACAUCUAAGUACCCCGAGGAAAAGAAAUCAACCGAGAUUCCCUCAGUAGCGGCGAGCGAACGGGGAUUAGCCCUUAAGCAUCUUGGAAGUUAGUGGAACGGUCCUGGAAAGGCCGGCGAUACAGGGUGAUAGCCCCGUACACGAAAACAACCUUGAUGUGAAAUCGAGUAGGGCGGGACACGUGACAUCCUGUCUGAAUAUGGGGGGACCAUCCUCCAAGGCUAAAUACUCCUGACUGACCGAUAGUGAACCAGUACCGUGAGGGAAAGGCGAAAAGAACCCCUGUGAGGGGAGUGAAAUAGAACCUGAAACCGUGUACGUACAAGCAGUGGGAGCCCUUCGGGGUGACUGCGUACCUUUUGUAUAAUGGGUCAGCGACUUACAUUUUGUAGCGAGGUUAACCGUAUAGGGGAGCCGUAGGGAAACCGAGUCUUAACUGGGCGUCUAGUUGCAAGGUGUAGACCCGAAACCGGGUGAUCUAGCCAUGGGCAGGUUGAAGGUUGAGUAACAUCAACUGGAGGACCGAACCCACUAACGUUGCAAAGUUAGGGGAUGACCUGUGGCUGGGGGUGAAAGGCCAAUCAAACUCGGAGAUAGCUGGUUCUCCCCGAAAGCUAUUUAGGUAGCGCCUCGGACGAAUACUACUGGGGGUAGAGCACUGUUUGGGCUAGGGGGUCAUCCCGACUUACCAACCCCAUGCAAACUCCGAAUACCAGUAAGUAAUAUCCGGGAGACACACGGCGGGUGCUAACGUCCGUCGUGAAGAGGGAAACAACCCAGACCGCCGGCUAAGGUCCCAAAGUUCUGGUUAAGUGGGAAACGAUGUGGGAAGGCUCAGACAGCUAGGAUGUUGGCUUAGAAGCAGCCAUCAUUUAAAGAAAGCGUAAUAGCUCACUAGUCGAGUCGGCCUGCGCGGAAGAUGUAACGGGGCUCAAACCAGGCACCGAAGCCGCGGAUUCACACUUAUGUGUGAGUGGUAGGGGAGCGUUCUGUAAGUCUGCGAAGGUGUAUCGAGAGGUAUGCUGGAGAUAUCAGAAGUGCGAAUGCUGACGUAAGUAACGAUAAAGGGGGUGAAAAGCCUCCUCGCCGGAAGACCAAGGGUUCCUGUCCAACGUUAAUCGGGGCAGGGUGAGUCGACCCCUAAGGCGAGGCCGAAAGGCGUAGUCGAUGGGAAGCAGGUUAAUAUUCCUGCACGACUUGUAAUUGCGAUGGGGGGACGGAGAAGGCUAGGUGGGCCAGGCGACGGUUGUCCUGGUGAAAGUGCGUAGGUGGUGUUU
RNAcentral lists this ribosomal RNA (1299 nucleotides) under Aeromonas veronii. RNAcentral describes it as "partial 23S ribosomal RNA". It matches the Rfam family "Bacterial large subunit ribosomal RNA", at positions 176 to 1532 of the family's 2925-position model. The record is from RNAcentral. Lineage: Bacteria; Pseudomonadati; Pseudomonadota; Gammaproteobacteria; Aeromonadales; Aeromonadaceae.